This 23-nucleotide microRNA is filed under the name Medicago truncatula (barrel medic). RNAcentral describes it as "mtr-miR5208c". Lineage: Eukaryota; Viridiplantae; Streptophyta; Magnoliopsida; Fabales; Fabaceae. The record is from miRBase by way of RNAcentral.
AACAUGGAUGUUGUGAGUUUGUU